RNAcentral lists this long non-coding RNA (14898 nucleotides) under Salmo salar (Atlantic salmon). RNAcentral describes it as "lncRNA (ENSSSAG00000116066.1)". Lineage: Eukaryota; Metazoa; Chordata; Actinopteri; Salmoniformes; Salmonidae. The record is from RNAcentral.
CUCUACACUAUAGUAGGUCCCAGGCUUCCUGUGUGUGCCUCCACUCCUCCCUAUCGCCUAGCCCUAUCCCAGCCAGCUCUAUUGUGUGAUACAAUCACUCAGCAGCUGUGGCCCAUUUGUAAAAGGGAGGGGCCUGCAUGCUUAACUCUUGGCUACGUAAGAGACCAUGUCUACCAGGGGAAUUAGCAGAUCAGCUCACAGAGCAACAGAUGUGGCCCACACCCAUUCAAGGGAGAGAGAAAAAAAAAACACAUUGCGCAUGGGUCUCCAACUUAACACUACUGUCAACUUAACAGCAAAACAGUUGCACAAAAUCCUCAAGGAAAGGGAGUUAAAGGAAAACUUAUUGCUUGACUUGGAAUUGUAUUGACUGACAUCAUCAUGAAGGCAUCAACCACAGCGGGUCCGGCGUUACCAAUGACAUCGCCAGAAACAUUCGAACAAGGAAUCAUUGAGGUUGUCACCCGUCUGGUCACACAGAAUUUCACAGAACACUUCACACAACCCUUCAGAGCUGGAGUUCUGACAACAACUUCUGCAGAUAUGACUGAAACAACCUCAGCCGCUUUUUUAGUGGGAGCCGCCAACGUAGAUGAUGGAUCCUUUGAAGCCAUUAUUUUCGGAGGAGGAAUUUUUGCGCUGCUCCUGGCGCUGCUCCUGGCGUUGCUGGUACUGCGCUACAUUGUCAAGCAUAAGGGCACUUACCACACCAAUGAGGCCGAGUGUGGUGAUUCUGUCGACAAGUAUGGCAGGGACUCUCAAAGCGAGCAGGUUCAACUAGAGAUUUUGGACAAGGACGAAUAGAAAGAAGAAUACUUCAUUUGAAACAGGACUUUUUCCGUUUCUAAACCAGGGCCAAUAUUUUCUAUGGAAUUGGAAAUGCCUAUGAUGGUCAUCUAAUUUCAAGACAACAUUUAUAUGGGGCCUACAACCAUCUCAGCUCUGCAGAUAUUGUUACGAAGAGACAAAAUAAUUACAUCACUUAUUUUUGUAUUGCCCAUAUAGUAUAUACACUAUAUACGCAAAAGUAUGUGGACACCCCUUCAAAUUAGUGGAUUGGCUAUUUCAGCCACAUUACAGCCUUAUUCUACAGCUUUAUUUCCCUCAUCAGUCUACAUAAAAUCUCAUAAUGACAAAGUAAAAACAGGUUUUUAUCAAUUUUUGCAAAUGUAUAAAAAAAAAAUUCUGAAAUAUCACAUUUACAUAAGUAUUCAGAUCCUUUACUCAGUACUUUGUUGAAGCACCUUUGGCAGUGAUUACAACCUUGAGUCUUGGGUAUGACGCUACAAGCUAGGCACACCUGUAUUUGGGGAGUUUAUCCCAUUCUUCUCUACAAAUCCUCUCAAGCUCUGUCAGGUUGGAUGGGGAGAGUUGCUGCACAGCUAUUUUCAGGUCUCGGGUUCAAGUCCGGGCUUUGGCUGGGCCACUCAAGGACGUUUAGAGGCUUGUCCCAAAGCCACUCCUGCAUUGUUUUGGCUGUGUGCUUAGGGUCGUUGUCCUGUUGGAAGGUGAACCUUCACCCCAGUCUAAGGUCCUGAGUGCUUCAUCAAUGAUCUCUCUGUACUUUGCUCAGUUCAACUUUCCCACGAUCCUGACUAGUCUCCCAGACCCUGCCACUGAAAGAUAUCCCCACAACAUGAUGCUGCCACCAUCAUGCUUCACCGUAGGGAUGGUGUCAGGUUUAAUCCAGACGUGACGCUUGGCAUUCAGGCCAAAGAGUUCAAUCUUGGUUUCAUCAGACGAGAGAAUCUUGUUUCUCAUGGUCUGAGAGUCCUUUAGGGGCUUUUAUUGGGCAAACUCCAAGCGAGCUGUCAUGUGCCUUUUACUGAGGAGGGGCUUCCGUCUGGCCACUCUACCAUAAAAGCCUGAUUGGUGGAGUGCUGCAGAGAUGAUUGUCCUUCUGGAAGGUUCUCCCAUCUCCACAGAGCAACUCUGGGGCACUGUCAGAGUGACCAUCGGGUACUUGUUUACCUCCCUGACCAAAGCCCUUCUCCCCCUUUUGCUCAGUUUGACCGGGCGACUAGCUCUAGGAAGAGUCUUGGUGGUUCCAAACUUGUUCCAUUUAAGAAUGAUGGAGGCCACUGUGUUCUUGGGGACCUUCAAUGCUGCAGAAAUGUUUUGGUACCCUUUCCCAGAUCUGUGCCUCGACACAAUCCUGUCUCAGAACUCUAUGGACAAUUCCUUCGACCUCAUGGCUUGGUUUUUGCUCUGAAAAGCACUGUCAUCUAUAGACAGGUGUGUGCCUUUCCAAAUCAUGUCCAAUCAAUUGAAUUUAUCACAGAUGGACUCCAAUCAAGUUGUAGAAACAUAUCAAGGAUGAUCAGUGGAAACAGGAUGGACCAGAGCUCAAUUUCGAGUCUCAUAACAAAGGGUCUGAAUACUUAUGUAACAUUAGAGUGUCUAGUUUGAGAAACAGACGUCUCACAAGUCCUCAACUGGUAGCUUCAUUAAAUAGUACCAGCAAAACACCAGCCUCAACCUCAACAGUGAAGAGGCGACUCCGGGAUGCUGGCUUUCUAGGCCAAGUUGCAAAGAAAAAGCCAUAUCUCAGACUGGCCAAUAAAAGUAAAAGAUUAAGAUGGGCAAAAGAACACAGACACUGGACAGAGGAACUCUGUCUAGAAGGCCAGCAUCCCAGAGUCGCCUCAUCACUGUUUAUGUUGCUCAGUUGUGCACCAGGGCCUCCCACUCCUCUUUCUAUUCUGGUUAGAGACAGUUUGCACUGUUCUGUGAAGGGAGUAGUACACAGUGCUGUACGAGAUCUUUAGUUUCUUGGCAAUUUCUCGCAUGGAAUAGCCAUCAUUUCUCAGAACAAGAAUAGACUGACGAGUUUCAGAAGAAAGUAAUUUUUUCCGGCCAUUUUGAGCCUGUAGUCAAAGCCACAAAUGCUGAUGCUCCAGAUAUUCAACUAGUCUAAAGAAGGCCAGUUGUAUUGCUUCUUUAUCAGAACGACAGUUUUCAGCUGUGCGAACAUAAUUACAAAAAAGUUUUCUAAUGAUCAAUUAGCCUUUUGAAAUGAGAAACUUGGAUUAGCUAACACAACGUGCCAUUGGAACACAGGAGUGAUGGUUGCUGAUAAUGGGCCUCUGUACGCCUAUGUAGAUAUUCCAUAAAAAAUAUGCCGUUUCCAGCUACAAUAGUCAUUUACAACAUUAACAAUAUCUGCACUGUAUUUCUGAUCAGUUUGAUGUUAUUUUAAUGGACAAAAAAAAAUGCUUUUCUUUCAAAAACAAGGAAAUUCUAAGUGACCCCAAACUUUUGAACGGUAGUGUAUGCUCAAAGUAUUAACAUCCCAAAAUACUGUAUCGGUGACUAAAUGUGGUCAAGUUUAUGUUGAAGAUAAUUCAUGUCUGUUGUUUUAUCACAUGAAAAUGCCAUUCGAUUAGGUGUGGGUAUGUAUCAAGCUACACAUUUGAUACAUUUGCACAGUCAUUAAUUAAAUCAGCCAAACUCUUUUUUCCCAAUUAAGAGUUUACUUGUAUACCCAGUCGAAAAAUCUGAUUAUUCAACACAACAUCUGAGUUCAGGAAACCAAGAUAUAGGGGCAAAUGUUGUCACUUCAAUAGUGUGUGUUAACGAGAUUUAGAAGCUUAUGGAGGAUUUUGUGUUUUCUAUUUUCAUCAAGCUAGAAUAGAGCAAUGCAGUGCCCGAGGCUGCUGAAGGGCAGUUCUGAAUCCUUGAGUAGCGCCAGGCAGCACUAUGUGGGUUUAAUGCAAUUCGAACAACCCCAGAAACGUUCCUGCAGAACUGAGCCAGCACACUUUGCAAAAAAAACAUUGUGCCUCUGGGAAAUCGUUUUACUCUAAUUGCGCAUUAUUCUUGGUUGGGAUACAAGACAAUACAAGCCAAUCUCAAGAUCAUACAUCACCUGAUCUACGAGCUGGCAAAGAGCACUUACUUUUGGCCAUUUGAUUGCAAGUUGAAAGUAUUUCUUUCCAUUUGUCUUCCUAAUCAAAGUAUGGGACAAUUGCUAACCUUUCUCCAAACAGAUUUUUCCUUCAAUUCUCUAAUCAAGUCCAACUUCAAAGCCAGUGACUCAGCGUGUGUUUGAGUGCAGUAGCUUGAGUGCUCUGUCUGAUUGAGGUAAAGACAAUGAAGCCAUUGAGACAUCUAUCCAACUGCCGUCCUCACCGACAACAUAUCAAAUCCUAUUGAUCAGAGAGGAAAACACUUACAAAAUAUGUGCCCCAAAUGGCACCCAAUUUCUUCUUUAGUGCACUAGGCUACUUUUGACCAGGGCCCUAUGGGGGAAUAGGGUGCUAAAUAGGGAAUAGGGUGCCACUUGGGACCCGGCCGUGACUUCACCAGGGCCACUGACACCUCUCGAGGAGAUUAACAACUUUUCUAAAAGAGUUAUUCCAGGGUCACUGAAGCCAUAGCUUGGCCUAGACAGCUAUAUAGAAGCACCAAGUGCUUGAAAGGCAAUAAUCAGGAAGUCAGCCUUGCAACCAGCCGCACUUCCCGUUCAAUGUAUUUUUAUGAUUAGAAAUCAAAUAACAGUUCAAAAGACACCCAUCGUGUUCUCUUACAAUUGUAUCCCAGCUUUCCUCCUGGCCUUGGUGUGCAGAGAACAUUCUUUUUUAUUGUGACAAUAAGCCAUACUUUGAUAUGGCCCUGAAGGCAUCAACAUAAAUUCCUCUCAUCCCGACUGCUCUGUGAAGCUUGAACAAUGGCAAAGCCGAAAGCUGGUGACUUUUCCAUCUCUUCUCCUACUGUCGACAAAAUGGCAUAAAAUACAAAUACAUGCUAGCAUUCUCCAUGGAUGAAUGUGGCAUGCGACUGUACUCACCUAAAGACAUCAACGAUGAAAACACUUUGAAUUUCUUUUGAACAAUGUAGCUACCUCACUCUCUUUGAGUUGUAGCUAAUUCCAGUAAAAGAGGAUACAGUACAUUAAUUAAUGAAUGACUUGACUUGGAAGCCCAUGGUACCGUAGUCUGAGUUGUGUAGAUUAUCUCCCUUGUUAGACAAUAGGCUAAGUCUUGGGUGCGUCCCAAACAGCACCCAUAGAGCUCUAGUCAAAAGUUGUGCACUACAGAAUGUACAGGAAAUAGGCUGCCAUUUGGGACGGAGACCUGGAUGUGUUCAGACAAAUGGAAGAAGAAUGGGAACAGGAAAUUCAUUGAAUCAUCUUGUCAUUGAAUCAUCUUCUUAGAAUAUCCCCAUGGCUUACAAUAUGCACGCUCCCAAAUGCAACCCUAUUCCCUGGUCCCUGGUCAAAAGUAGUGCAUUGCGUAGGGAUUAGGGUGCCAUUUGGGAUGCACUUUUAAGGUUCUGGGGCUCUUGAGAAAGGAGAGUUUUGCAUAAUACAGCAGCAAUAAAACAGAAAAUGCUAAAUUCCAGCUCAUCCAAGUGUUGCUCUAUUGUAUUCUUCAGCGAAUAUCCUAUAAGCUAUAAUGAAGAUAUGUGACUUAGCCCCUGACAUGGCAAGCUUCCUAGGAGAAAGGACUUCCAUUCCAGACUCAAUUACUAUUGCAAUACGUUUCCGCUAUGGAUAUUGAAUAUUGCAAGAUAAGCAGGUCUCGCAAAAUUGCUAGCACAAAGUCUGCGCCGGGGUUUAUGCUAAGGCUUUUUACGCUUCUGUUCAAAGGUGCAUUGGGAAGGUUAUGAAGUACAUUUUUGGGGGGGGGCAGGGUUACAGGAAUAAAUAAUACAGUACCUGCCUGUGAAGAUGGAUGCUUCAUUGUUACAGCCAGGAAUAGUUCCUGCACUCAGCACUUCUCCAAAGAAGUGAAUGUCAAACUUGUGAAUGUCAAACUUGCAGGGGAUCCCCAACAGAGCAGCGUUAGAGAACUGUUCAACCAACUCAGUGUUAAAGAUGAAAUCCGCAUAAGGUGAAACAGCGCCAUUGUUAGCCCUCAGUGCAUUUGUCAUGAUUUUUGUUCUGUUGAUGAAACAGAGUAGAGGAGCAUCCAGUAUCGUGGUAAAACAAUAUUCCAGUACAUACUCUGUGUUCUAUCGCACGUGCAAUGAUGUGCAACGAUGUCAGCGGGGGAAAAAAACUGUGUUCGUAGUUUGAAGUAACUUCUUUGUUGUUGUAAUAUCGCAAACGGACAUGGCCGUUUCACCAAGUACGAAUUCCAGCUUUAAAACAGUGUUCAACCAAUGAAGUGUUAAAACAGUUUUUAGAAGAAUUCACAAGCUUGUAAUUGCAAAACUAGGCAGAAAUGAAGAAGAAAAGUGAUUCAGAAAAGAGGGAACAAAUGGUGUUAUUCUUUGAACCGCUUUUAAUUAAGUCUGUUCCUUUCUGUUUACUUUGAUGAAUCAUUGUUUCCCUAUUAGGCUCACUGUACCAAAGAGAGCUGCAUCUCCAUAAAACUAAAGGAGACAUCAUCCCCAUUAACAACUGUUACUAAUUGAUAUACCUAUAGUUUGGUUUUGAAAGAUUCAUACAACACAAGAACAGUACACUGCCCUCUGAUCCCAGAGGGCAGUGUCUCCAAGAAUACUGUCUCCAAGGAGGCUGCCUGCCUGCCUGUAUACCUGCCUUCUUGCCUUGAUGCCUGUGUGGCUGGCUUCCUGUACAGAUAGCCUAGCAGGAGGGAGCCUGCCUCUGCCUGCCUGCCUCUCAGCCUGCCUCUCUGCCUGCCUCUCUGCUUGGUGCACUCAGCAGUAAGAGGUGAUAUAGGCCUAAUCAUUAUUACUCUAUAAUAACUGAUAAAUAAUCCUCAUAUGAACGGUCACUAGGGGAAAUUGGCUUUUGUUAUUUCAUGUCUAACCGCAUUGCACCUACAGAAACCCAAUUAGCAAAACAAGUCAGCCAGCACUGAAUCAUCGGCAGGUAGUCUGCUAGGCUAUAUUGUCAUGAACAAACUACUGGAAUUCUGUUUGUGUAUAUAUGAAUGGGUUACUUUGGGUCCUAGAGUAUGUUAACUUUUUUAAUGUACUGUAGUUCCAUCCAUUAAAAAAAUUAUAAUAAUAAUUACUGAUUUUUGAGUACAGGCAUACCAUUGAAAUGUCUCUGUACUUUCUUCUCUCUCUCAGUGUGAGAAGCCAGUUCCGAGUUUCAGUUCUCUUUCCAGACUUAGUUGUUGUGACAAACAUUUGACCAGAUAAUUCAGUUCCCUGGGUGUAAUUACUCAGUUGACUGCAGGCACAUUUAGAUUUAAUUAAAAGUGAGAGUCCAAUAUCACUUGUCAUUGCACCUGACACCCUGGCGUUAACUUUGCAGCUUUGCAUUCAUUAGAGCAGGCAGUCAUUUUGUCACAUCUCCUUUGGAAUUGCCUAAAGUUGUAUCUUAUUUACAGCAUAAUCCUACCAGAUAUAAUAUAGUGCACAUCCUUAGGCAUGAAAGUAACAAAACUGAGGUGGGUAUGUGUGUGUGUGUGUCUGUGUGUGUGUGUGUGUGUUGGCAGAGGCCUUCCAGGUUCCCCUUCAGUCAUAUCACGGUAGGAGCAUGGCUGUGUCUUUGCACUGCCAAUUAUCACUCCGGAAAUUCACUAAACAGACUAAGUACAUCACACACACACACACAAAUCCGCUUUAAAGCUUUGUCUCUAAUUAGAUGAAACAGGAAAAAUAGAUCUCACAAAACAUCUUGCUCACCUUACAUGGUGAGGCAUCUUCAGCAUCUAUUCGACACUCUCUUAGAAGGCCAGAUACAUUUCCACUGUCAUUUCUGAUGUGGACUGACUCAAUGUUACCGGAUUGUCAAAAUUAAAUUGAAUUCUUUAGAACAGAUAGCUACAACUCUUCAGGGAAAUAUCCAGAGACAAUAUAGUCUAUACAACAGCAACGAAUACAAAUGAAUAAAGAUAGUGCUAAAGUAACUAUUCCUAAUAUUGAGUACAUCCCGGUGCUUAAUGGUAAACACAGCACCUUGAUGUGUGAUCUGCUUUUUUAUUAACACUAUUUUCCUGUGGACAAAGAGAGUUAUGCCACUAACUGGACCAAUAGCCUUGUUUGGUAUGCACGUCCACCGGAGGCCCCAAACAUAACAAUUCAUCGGUUCUAGUUCUCCUUUGUGUCAGAUCCCACAUUUCAACUCAAUUAAACCCCAUUUUAUUACAGAGCUGCAUCUGCGGCAUGAGUGUGACUAAUUGAAAAGUGAACGGAAAGGAAAAGCAAUUUUCUCACCUAGAAAUGACUCAUCACACAAUGCAUUUUCUUUUUCUCAAAUCGAACAAAUGGUUCAAGCCUCUGCUCGAAUUUAGGAACAGUGAGCCUCAUUAUCCAGUUGGAAAGGUGGUUGAAUGAUGCCAAUUUAUCCAUCAUUACAUAUAACAGAGCUUUCUCUCUUUGUGCUCAUUCGCCAUUAGAUGAGAAAAGAAGAAUUGCAUCAUUUCACACAGACAGGGAAAAUACAGUUAAUUGUUCAAGUGUUCUUGUUAAAGCCUCUUAAUCCUAGGAUUUAAGAGUGAUUAACAUUUGUUCCAUAAUAUUUAACAAUGGACUAAAAGCUGUCAUGUUAAUCACAAGACAUCAUUAUAAGCUAGGAGAAUUUAUUUUAUAAUGGUUAGCACCAAUCAGUGCUAAAAGACUUGCACUCUCCUGGAUAAGCUCUUGAAACGUAAGUCCAUUCAUAAAAGUAAAUCUGUUUUUACUUUGCCUUUGACUCAUUCCAUUGGACCACCUCCACUACAGUAUUAGCAAGGAGUUUUAUAACUAACCCAAGACAGACAAGAGCCUGUCGUUUCCAACCUGAGCAAAUUAAUCAUAGCGUGCAGAUAGGCAAGAAGGUGGGCAGAGCCAAGCACGAGCUACUGAGAUCUUAUUGGCUCAUUAUUUGUAUAUUUCAGGUGCGCGUGUGCACUCUAAACAACGCGCUUUUUAGAAACUUUGGCAAAACGCAGUCCACUCUGUUUGUUACAGAUUUUAGUUUGGAAACAGAAACCUGUAUGGAGAUCAAAUGUUUCAUCGAUGAGAACAUUUGCAGAAUGUCGGCCAAAGUCCAUCUCGCUUGAUAUUCUCCCAUUGCCGGCCACUGGGCUUCCAUACUAGUGAGUGGAAAUGCCAACCGGAUGCUUCACGUUUAUGCAUCCAGUUUAAAUAUGGCUCAUCGUUCUGUCUGUGGUAUUAGAUUUUCUGUGAUAGUGAGACACUUCCCUCUUGUGGUGAAAAUGAUACUGUAAUUGUAUGGAAGUAAAACGUUCUGACUGCGCCACCCAGUGGUAAAUUCUAAGUAUUGCAAUGAGAAUACUGGAACACUUGUGAUCAACAUUCAUUCAAAACAACCACUCCUUAUGAAAUGAUCAUGUUUUCAACAGAGACGUGACAGUUGGUGAUAUAGUGGGGGAAUUACUAGUGCGAAGCAUCCUUUUCAGUCAACCUUAAAGUUCAAUUUUCAUUUUGAUAUGCUGUGCAGAGGUUAGGUUUAGAGUUGAGGUUAGGGAAUGUGUUAAGGUUAGGGUUCGAGGGGUUAACAUAGACUCUGGCCAUGGGAACUUAUUUGUACAUUUGAACUGUAUGUUGUCCUGUUAUGACCCGUAUGACUGUGUUUAAUAUCACUCCCUGACCACAUUUUAUAAAGUGCCUGGGGAAGUGAGGGCCUCCACCGUGGGAGAUUUAUGAUAUGGAUUUAUUUUAUUAUCAAGUAAUAAAAGUGGUCCGAACAUCUGUUUUAUUACUUUUAUAAAACAGGGGUGCCAAUACUGAUGGAGAAUUACGAGGCGAUAGACUGAUUUACUGGACAUCAGGACUUACAGCUGACUUGUAAGUCCCGACGUACUUCAAAAUUCCAAGUAUGGCAGUACCAAGUACCUCAAGUAAGGAAUGCAUGAUGGAUACCAUGCCAAACAAGCAAAAGCAAUAGGCUGUUGUAGGCUCAGAAAAAAAGUGUUGGCAGCAACAUACAAAGGACGCUUUAUGUUGCUCUUUACCAUCGAGCAAAACCCAGCAGGCCAGUCUAGCCCAAUUGGAAUCUUACCCUGAAUUCAAAGGUAUACUCUGCCAAUAACAGAGUGGGCUAGACUGGCAGAGAUGGAGUGUUUGUUUCUAGAAAUAAGUGUGUUUUGGAUGGGCACAUUCUGCUAGUAUUGAUAAACAGGUCUGUUGGCAGGCGGCUGAUGUGGGCAGGGGUUUGAGUUAGCUCAGGCCCAGACGCUCAGACCGUUCUGCUGGAGGGACGCCAGUGAAAUUCUCUGGCCUGCUAGAGGCAAACGAUUAUGUGAAGAAGAAGAGGGGUCCGGGCCGCCAAGAGCAUAAUUUCCCGUUAGAAUGGGAAUUAGAGGACCACACACUUAGUUCAAUCCCAUCAGUCACUAGGAAAACGGAUCGAUGAAGGAAGGAUGGACGAAGUGGGGUGCACAUGCAGAUGUGCUGAGUCACAGGCCAUUGUGACAUCCCUUCCUCUAUCUCAAAACAACAAAGAUCCAUCUAUGUGUUCCAAGCCAGGCCAAAGGAUGAUUUCAGAGAAGAGGACAGAGGGGGUAACAUCCGUGGAAUGGAAGAGUGGGGACAGGGUGGAGGAUUGGAUGUGUUGGGAUGAGGUAAAAAAAUUCCCUCACUCUGUCUGGACCUACUGUAAUAAGAUGGUUAUUGUUAACACAUUACACACACACACCAAUGGAGGCUCCUCAGACGAGGAAGGGGAGGACCAUCCUUCUCUGUGAAUUUCAUAAAAAUACAAAUAGUGAAACAAUAAUAAAAUGCAAUCCUUUUUAGAUAAAACUAUAGCAAAUAUAUUCAAACGUCACCAAAUACCUAAUUAAAACACACUGUUUUGCAAUGGUCUACAGUAAUCUCAACAGCACCCUCUAGGGUAGCACCAUGGUAUAGCCGGAGGACAUCUAUUUUCCAUCCUCCUCUGGCUACAUUGACUUCAAUACAAAACCUAGGAGGCUCAUGCUCCUCACCCCCUUUCAUAGAACUUCUGAAGGACGUCCUCCAACCAAUCAAAGCUUUUGCAGUAUGAACUAACAUGUUGUCCCCUCAAUCAAAGGAUCAGAGAACUAACCUAGUAGUACACAUGUGUGAUUUAGAAGCUUGGCGACAUUGUUGGAUAGAAUAGUGAUACAGUAGAUGAGCCUUUUUAGGUUACUAUUCAAUUCAAAUUAAUUUCUUCAAAACUACAUCAGAUGUAGGAGGUAGAUUAAUCCUUGCUUGGACUAACAAAUUCUUAGCUCUUCUGUCUAACUGUGUUGUGUUAUUGUUUUUUGUCUUCCCUGUUAAAUCCUGUCCCACCCUCAGUGGAAGAGUUGAGCUCUCCAACCUCAUCCAUCUGUGAUGAGCAUGUCCUGCACUGAAACCUAGCCACUGAACACCUCUACCCCUGUCCUGCACUGAAGCCUCUGAACACCUCAAACCCUGACAUGCACUGAAGUCAAGCCUCUCGAACACCUCAACUCAUGUCUUAUAACCUCAUUCAGUCACUGCUGUGAUCCCUUCACAACACUGUGAGCAAAGAACAGCUUUAUGAAUACCUCCACACACACACACACACACACACACACACACACACACACACACACACACACACACACACACACACACACACACACACACACACACACACACACACACACACACACACACACACACACACACACACACACACACACACACACACACACACACACACACACACACACCGCCUAGUCUUGAGUAAACUGAAACACUGUAUGCCAGCUUUACGAAUGCCACCAGAAAAAAAAGUAGCUAAGUAGCUUACUAUGCAGAAAGCCAUUUAGUGCUCAUUGUUAUUUCUGGAUACUGUGAGAAAAAAUGCCAGAGGCAAUUUAGGCCAUUGCCUUUGAGUGGCUGUGUGGUCACUUGUUUUUACGAUGAGUCUGAAGCAGUGAAAUAGUACAUAAUGAUGUCUGGUUUGAGUAACACACACAAAACACACACACACACACACACACACACACACACACACACACACACACACACACACACACACACACACACACACCAGUAAGAGCCAAGUCCUGAGUGAAGUGAAGUGGAACACUACUACUGGACUCCUGAUCAGAGGACCGGACCUCACCUGGGUUUGAAAACUCACCAAGUCUGCCAAUGCCUGUUCCUGUUCAAACAACUUCUCUCUCAUUUUCCACCCAGAUCAUCUUGUCCCAAUUUUACGCAUUACUUGUGAUUUCACUUUGAGGUUGGUCCCAUACUGGCAGUUGUUAUUUCUGGGCAAAAUCAAACAAUAGCCUGAUCUUCACUUUGUAACGCAAUAGGGACAGGGUUUUUUUUUACUUUUUGUGUGGUGCUAGUGAAGUUCUCCACCUAAUUUAUUGCCUUCAGCAAGCUUAUAAAACUUAAAGCAUUUUGACUAAUUUAACACUAAGAGGAUACAGGUCUAAAAUGAAACAUAGAGACCUUUGACUUCUUAAGAUGACCCGGAAGAUGACUUACUUGACUACUAGGAAUCUUUGGCUCCUAUAAGGAGCAUAGCAGACCAUUGAUAAAUGUCCUUCAUCUCACUCCGUUUUGAGUGAGAUGUUCUUCCAGGUCACACCAGUUGAGGCCACUCUGUCAUUUCUACCUGGAUGUCUCUCUGUGGGAGAAUCUCAAUAGCAUACUUCUCGAGUCCUCUCUCAUCUCUCCUCACCUCCUUCUCAAAACCCAUUGGAGGAGAAGGUCAUAGGGGAGGGACCUCUGGCUUUCUCAUCCAUUGGUUUGUGAGAAAGAGGUGAGGAGAGAGGAGAGAGGAUGCGAGGGGUAUGCAAUUGAGAUUCUCUCCAAGCCUUUCUGGGUCGAGGUACAUGAGGUACAGAAGACAGUUAAAAAAUGUCACUCAAACAUUUCAUAGCUCUACAUGCUUUCAGAAAGAAUAAAAAUCACUGUCUCUAAGCAAGUUUAUGAAAUGUGUUUCAUAUUAGGGUUAUAUGAGUGUUUACAGCAGGCUUAGUGCCAAAUUAGAUUUACAGAACUAUCCAUAAUCGAAAGCUGUUAAAAAGUGAGCUAAGUGCAUAAUUGAGCAAACACUGUAAAGCUGAGAAUGCAUCAAAGGAACAUUCAUCCACACCUGGAUUACCACCAGAGAAACUGGCUGAGAAGUGUUUCUCUCUCUCUCUCUGAUUGGUUAACUGACAGAGGUUAUAAGGGCACCUCUGGCCACCUAGAGAGACAGAGGCACGAUUCAAUAAACGUCUUCCUCAAUUUGUCAAAUAGUCGGCAGUAGGCUACAUGCCAAGUUCAACUGGGCUAAACCAAAUAGCUAGCUACACUCUUAGAAAAAAAGUGUUCCAAAAGGGUUAUUCGGCUGUCCCAAUAGGAGAACCCUUUUUGGUUCCAGGUAGAACCUUUUUGGUUUCAAAUAGAACUCGUUUCGUUUAGUACCCUGUCAGGUAAGGGUUCUACCUGGAACCAAAAGGGUUCUACCUGGAACCAAAAAUGGUUCUUCAAAUGGUUCUCCUAUGGAGACAUCCGAAGAGCACCUUUUUUCUAAGUGUAUAGUAGCUUGUUAAAUAAAAGGCCAAACAUUUCAUGAAACGUUGUUACAUACAGCAUUUCAUAUAUCUUCUACAUUUUACCAAUAUUUUGGGAUAGGGGUUUUUCUUGCUUUUACCUGUUUGAGGUUGGCUCGCUGCCGAUUUCAAAUUUGAAUUCAGUGUCAUCACACGACAUCCGGUAAUGACCGUCUGUGGCUUUACCUUGAAGACCGUCUCCUAGAAGUUGGACUGAUGUGCCCAGUGGGUAGUUAACUCAACUUGCUAGCUGUGUUGAUGGACGUAUACAGAAAGUCAACAAAAAACUGUAAAGUAAGUUAAGGACAGAUAAACAUUAAACACACAAAGAAAUUAUUGAAAACACUGUACAUAAAAGUUUAUGCUUUUGGCUCAGUAUAUGGAGGGCCAAAACGUAUUUCCUCUCUAACAUGAUCGAUUUUAUGAAAUGACCAUCAGCCCUUUUACAGUUUUUUUUCAAUUGUUUAAGCACAAUUUUGAAAACAGGGCCCGGUUUGUCAAAACACUACACACAAUUAGCAGAACCCUACACCAAAGUAGCACAACACUUCAGAUCAUUUGCAAAAUGGAACACUUGUCAAAACUACACACAUAUUCUGUUACCAUACGAAACACACACAUUUCAUGACUUCAAUCUUUUUGAACCAGUUACACACUGCUGUUGCUAACCUAAAACACUUUUAGCAAGUCUAAUUGUCAGUGAUUAGAGUACUGUAAAUGAAGUACACAGAGAAAGUGCAACUAUACAAACACUACACAAGACCAAUGCUGCAGACUGAGGAAAAUAUCAUUUAUUUCUCUCCAUAUACCCAAAUCAGUCAACAUGUCAACAUGGAGAAUCACAACAAAACAUGUCCCAGUUUUCAUGCUACUACAGUAGUGUGCAUAACACUGUUAGCUCAGCAAACAGACAAAGGUAAAAUACUGUAUCCAGUACAGGUUACAAUUACAGUAAACAACAAACAUAAAAAAAUAAUCUGAAAAAAAACUGACAAUAUUGUACAGAAAAUACUACAGUAAACAUAGUAUACAUUAUCUCUUCACCUAGCUGGAUCUGGCCAGAGAAUUUCAUCAACAUCACAAGCAAUAUCCUCAUUAGCAAGACAACGCGGGAAGAACCGUCUUGAAUGUCGAAUCCAUCCUUGCAGAGCUGCGGCGUCGACUUGGUCACAGGCAUCCUCCAUGGCCUGAAUGAGGGGUACCUGAGCCUGGGGCUGGAGAUCGUAAACCUUCCACCGCCAUGCAGAGAAAAACUCUUCAAAAGGGUUUAGAAACGGAGAGUAUGGUGGAAGGUAUAGUACUGUCAACUGUGGAUGGUGUUGAAACCAGUUCUGGACCAAAGCAGAGCGGUGGAAUGACACAUUGUCCCAGAUGACAGUGUAUUGCAUCUGGUGCAUUUCAUUACCUGCUGUGACGAUGUGGUGCAAUCGGUCCAAAAAUGCGAGAAUGUGAGGUGUGUUGUAAGGGCCCAUUUUGGCAUGACGGAGGAGAACCCCAUGCUGUGAAAUGGCAGCGCAAAGGGUGAUGUUACCCCCACGUUGCC